Molecule: long non-coding RNA, 431 nt
Organism: Quercus robur (English oak)
Lineage: Eukaryota; Viridiplantae; Streptophyta; Magnoliopsida; Fagales; Fagaceae
Exons: 3
Source: RefSeq, a predicted model, not a curated record
CCUUCCCUAAAACCUUCUCUUCUCACUUCCCUUGGAAACCAAAUUUAAUCAUCAAUCUGUAUCUCCUAUAUUCUUCCCCAAAGCAAACCCUAUACCUAAGGUAGCCAACGUGCUAGGCCUAUGCAGGAGUUUCCUUGGUCUCCACUCUCAGCCUCUUUUCUCCAUGGACGGAUUCAACCACAGAGCCGAUUAGGUAAUGAUGAUGAUGCCAAUUACUCAGUCCCAACGCCAACUGAAUCCUAGCAGAGGUGUGGUUGCCUUUUCGAUUGUCACCGUUGGCAUCACCAGAUGGAUACAAGAAGAGAGAAGUUUUGAUGCUAAGGUUGAUAGUCAUAAGUGGAAAGAUUCCUAAUCCAAUUAAGUUUCCAAUAUAUAUUCUCUUUGGAUCUGCUGAUUUUUCAUACUUUACAUUGUUUUUGGGCAGUACUGGU